Molecule: ribosomal RNA, 423 nt
Filed under: uncultured bacterium
Lineage: Bacteria
Description: bacterial SSU rRNA
Rfam family: Bacterial small subunit ribosomal RNA
Source: RNAcentral
AUCUUCGGCAAUGGGCGAAAGCCUGACCGAGCAACGCCGCGUGAGCGAUGAAGGCCUUCGGGUCGUAAAGCUCUGUUGUUAGAGAAGAACAAGUACGAGAGUAACUGCUCGUACCUUGACGGUACCUAACCAGAAAGUCACGGCUAACUACGUGCCAGCAGCCGCGGUAAUACGUAGGUGGCAAGCGUUAUCCGGAAUUAUUGGGCGUAAAGCGCGCGCAGGCGGUCUCUUAAGUCUGAUGUGAAAGCCCACGGCUCAACCGUGGAGGGUCAUUGGAAACUGGGAGACUUGAGUGCAGGAGAGAAAAGUGGAAUUCCACGUGUAGCGGUGAAAUGCGUAGAGAUGUGGAGGAACACCAGUGGCGAAGGCGGCUUUUUGGCCUGUAACUGACGCUGAGGCGCGAAAGCGUGGGGAGCAAACAGG